ACGAGCCAUUCUCUGCUUUUUGGAUCUGUCGAAGAAAUGAAAAGUUUUAGUAACAUCUCUAUGGGAAAAUUGAAUAUAAAAUUGCCAUCGAGAUAUGUCUUUUUUACGUAUAUUUCGAGUUUUGCGCACCGGUGGAAAAUUCGAGAAGGGUGAGAGAAAGGAGAAACGGGGAACGUUUCCUCUGCGAGAAGCAACGGUCAACGGAUGAGAUUCACAUAACUGGAUCCGUGGCUAUCAAAGGGUUAAAGAAAUCGUCGAGAAGAUAUGUAAAAAAGGAAAUCGAUUUAGCUGCCAUAAACGUUAAACCGGUAUAACUCUCAUGUCAUCAUACAAAGGGGAUGCGGUAUAACGGUUCCUUUGAAAUUGCAUGUGAUGUUAAAUAGAAACGUUAUUUAUGUCUUACUUUAAAUCUGCAAUAUUAUUGGUCAAUUUAUACAACAUUCUUAUAUUAAACAUGACUAAUUAUCUAAAAUCUACAAAUUUUAGCUUUAGUCGCGAACAACAAGUUUAGUUACCGAAGUAAAGAUAUGAAAGCAUCUGUGUGUAUGUGAUAUGCCGCAUUUCAAAAUACUAAGGGAUUUUAAAUUGUUCGAGCAAGAUCACGUAGCGAUAAUAUUCUACGUGUAUAAAUCAUCUUUGUUAUUUAAUUACAAAGAAAUGUAUUAUUCAGUUAUGGAAUAUUAUUUCUUUUCUUUCUUUCCCCGAUAUGAUGAUUUAUAUAUAUAUAUAUAAAGCAUGAAGAUUCUUAUGUCAUUCGACCGAGAAAAUCUGUUUAUAAAUUUUCAUUCUGCGAGCCGACGAGACUAAAAUAAUAAUCCGACACCUGGAGAUAUUUUUCACGCGCAUCUUGAAUCUUUUCCUUCGCAAAAGCCAUCUGACAAAAAUUCUAUGCCAUGGCAGCGAAUUUUCGAAAAUGCUCGACUUAUCUUCCUGUCGGGCACCUGGGCAUCUUCGCCCCCUUCACAAUUUUGAGGGGUGACUAGCAUCCCUCGCGUCGGAGCAAAAAUCCUGAGGGAGGAAACCGACGCGUCGCGUACGUUACGCAACGUGGAAACAGGUAAGGACUAGAGAAUCCCGUUCUAGGAUCAAGGAUUUCUUCGUCUGACGCGAUCUCUUCCUUCUUCAACGAGGGGUGAGUGACGACAAGAAGGGGCUGCGCUUGAAAAGGAACAUUGUGCCGAAUUGUUUUCCCAGGGCCCUGCUGAAGGGAAGGGCUCCCCCCGUCAAUCCCCAUGCACGUCGAGGAAGGAAGGGCCUAGUAUAUAAGGGCCCGUUCGGUCUGCAGCGAUCACAGAACAUCACCAUCAACGGCGAAGAGAGGAAGUCUCUCGGCUUCUUCGACCGAUCGGCCGCCGCGGUCAAACGGCCGAGGAGGAUCCGCAGAGGAUGAAGAGAAGAGGAGAAGAGGAGAAAGUGGACCAUAUCUAAUCGGCGAUUGUCAACGUUCUUCUGUCGCAGAUCCAAUCGGAGCGUCUACAUCACUAUCACGAUGGUCUCACCGCCACGGCUUGCAGCAACGAGGCAGCAUCAAUCACGGGUAAUUGGGGCAUCCAUCAGUCGACGGGACGGCAGGGGAAGAUCAAGAUCGACGGGUGCAGCCGGAAACAAGCAUCAAGCGGAAGCCAGCUGUCCAACGAGGAACCAAAACGUGGACGGAUAACAAGUAUCUUCUGGGCGAUCUCGCGUUCCUCGAUGAUCGAGGGAGAUCAUCGGAGAUCAAGAGCGACGAUCGCGCAAUUCUUCGAUUCACUCACAUCUCAAGCUAUUACUCGCAGAAUUAUAUUUAUUAAAUUUAUAAUAUACUAUGGGGAAUUAGUUGAAUUUUUAUCGUGUUUAUUAAAACACUUUUCGCAUUUAUAUGUUGCACAAGAGGCGAAAACAGGCUUUCACGUGUCUACCCGGCCAGCCUGAGAGAAUUAAUUGAUUUACCUAGCACACAUUUGGAAACACACCUUCGAACGAAGCAUCUUCAUCGAAGUGUACAGAGUUCCGCGAAUUCAUCGAGAACGAAUCUUCCGAUAUCGACCUCGAAAAACUAAAGCAGCAAUGUUUUUUCACCGGACCCAAUCAUUUUCCGUCUCAAGAAAAUUUAUUCCAAUCGCCAGACGGACAAUCAUCGGACGUCAAUUGUCGAUCAUUAACGCGACAAUUGGCAAAAUUUAAAGAAAUUCCGGAACUACCUGGCUAACAAAGGCUGCACCUGUUAUUCUCGCCAGACCGAAGAACAAAAGCACUUUCCAAGCAGUAAAAUCAAAAUAACGCAACAUGAAUAAUUCGUCAAAAAUAGCAAGACUUGGAAACGCCAUUUCAUAUUAUCUAUCACUCUGUGUUGCUUCGAAAAGCAACAAUACAAAAUAUUAUCUGUAAACUGUUCUGAAAUUUAUGGAAAGGAUGGACACAGAAAGUUUAUGGAUAAAAGGAGAUUAGAUCUGCUUCUUUUAUUUUCUGAAAUUAUUGAAAAAUCAUCGAAAAAUGUCAGCAUGUACACCACUCGACUUACUUCAGGAUUACUUUGCAGUUACUUCAAAUGAGAGGAAAGCAUUAUAAUCAUUGAAAUAUUAUAGUAUGUUCUGUACUGUUUCGCAUCGCGCGAAAUUCUGAAUUAUGCUUCGCUCGAAAUUGGAUCCAAAAAGGACAAAACGUCUCUCUAUAUCUCUCCUCGAAAGGAUCACGGCAUGGACGGAAUCAGUUCCUCCGACUUCAACCCGGCAACUCUACAUUGUUACAUGCAAGUGCAAGUCUCGCAUCAGGAAUAAUUUCGCAGAACGUUAUUAAACUACGGCCGCAGCACAAGCCGCGCCUUUAAACUCUGAUUUAGUACAUAUAUCGAUUUACAGCAAAGAUUUAUUUUGCGAGAAAACGUUUUCAUUACACUUCCCGCAACAAUCUUUCUACGCGCUGCAAUCUGUCACAUUUGACGAUCAAAGAAGUAUUAACAUGAUUUCAAAUCUGUUCACAGGACGAAUUAUCGAUAAUUAUUUGAAAACGUAUUGCGACUUUAAGUGCAACAGUUUCGCAAGACUCUAUUUUGAUUAUGUCACGAUUCAAAGAGAAGACGCACACGUCUACAACAUACGAUUAAGGCUUCAGAGCAGAUCAAAAGCAAAAUGCAAAAUAGAAAAUCACGCCGUAAAUUAUAUCGUGCAGCCAAAACAGCACUGCACGGAACGAAACUGCAUCGAAAAACGAUUCUCCAGAGUUCAAUUUGGCUGGAGGGAUAAUUGAUAGCUCUCGAUCGAAAUUCGUAAGUUAUUUCGGAUCGACGAGUCAACGCACCGUCAAUUCUUGAGAUUUAACAUUUUUGAAUUUGAUUAAUGAUUACCGAAGAAUAAUAGCAGCGCUCAAAACAGAUAUUCUCAAAAGCAAAGAUAUGCAAAUUCAUAAACAAAAUCCAGGGAAGUAUGCAAAAAAAAAAAA
Molecule: long non-coding RNA, 3417 nt
Organism: Formica exsecta
Lineage: Eukaryota; Metazoa; Arthropoda; Insecta; Hymenoptera; Formicidae
Exons: 2
Source: RefSeq, a predicted model, not a curated record